GUGUUGCGUGAAAGGAAAGAAGGUUAGCACCGCUUGACAAGGCUGGAAGAGACCCUCGGGUUUGGCAACACGCACACAGUUAAGGCAUUGCCAUCUAACCACGGUUUUUU
RNAcentral lists this non-coding RNA (110 nucleotides) under Prolemur simus (greater bamboo lemur). The record is from RNAcentral. Lineage: Eukaryota; Metazoa; Chordata; Mammalia; Primates; Lemuridae.